CAGUAGCCACGGUAAUACGUAGGUGGCAAGCGUUGUCCGGAAUUAUUGGGCGUAAAGGGCUCGCAGGCGGUUUCUUAAGUCUGAUGUGAAAGCCCCCGGCUCAACCGGGGAGGGUCAUUGGAAACUGGGAAAUUUGAGUGCAGAAGAGGAGAGUGGAAUUCCACGUGUAGCGGUGAAAUGCGUAGAGAUGUGGAGGAGCACCAGUGGCGAAGGCGACUCUCUGGUCUGUAACUGACGCUGAGGAGCGAAAGCGUGGGGAGCGAACAGGAUUAGAGACCCGAGUAGUCCCUGUCUCUUAUAA
This 301-nucleotide ribosomal RNA is filed under the name uncultured bacterium. RNAcentral's name for it is "partial 16S ribosomal RNA". It matches the Rfam family "Bacterial small subunit ribosomal RNA", at positions 509 to 809 of the family's 1533-position model. The record is from RNAcentral.